RNAcentral lists this ribosomal RNA (2880 nucleotides) under Stenotrophomonas sp. DR822. Its description in RNAcentral is "23S ribosomal RNA". It matches the Rfam family "Bacterial large subunit ribosomal RNA". Lineage: Bacteria; Pseudomonadati; Pseudomonadota; Gammaproteobacteria; Lysobacterales; Lysobacteraceae. The record is from RNAcentral.
GGUCAAGCGAAUAAGCGCACACGGUGGAUGCCUUGGCGGUCAGAGGCGAUGAAGGACGUGGCAGCCUGCGAAAAGUAUCGGGGAGCUGGCAACAAGCUUUGAUCCGGUAAUGUCCGAAUGGGGAAACCCACCCGCUUGCGGGUAUCCUGCAGUGAAUACAUAGCUGCUGGAAGCGAACCUGGUGAACUGAAAUAUCUAAGUAACCAGAGGAAAAGAAAUCAACCGAGAUUCCGUAAGUAGCGACGAGCGAACGCGGACUAGCCCUUAAGCUGAUUUGGUUCUAGGAAAACGCUCUGGAAAGAGCGGCCAUAGAAGGUGAUAGCCCUGUAUCUGAAAGGGCCAUUUCAGUGAAGACGAGUAGGGCGGGGCACGUGAAACCCUGUCUGAACAUGGGGGACCAUCCUCCAAGGCUAAAUACUACUGACCGACCGAUAGUGAACCAGUACCGUGAGGGAAAGGCGAAAAGAACCCCGGAGAGGGGAGUGAAAUAGAUCCUGAAACCGUGUGCGUACAAGCAGUAGGAGCCUCGCAAGGGGUGACUGCGUACCUUUUGUAUAAUGGGUCAGCGACUUACUGUUCGUGGCAAGCUUAACCGUAUAGGGGAGGCGAAGGGAAACCGAGUCUGAUAAGGGCGCAUAGUCGCGGGCAGUAGACCCGAAACCGGGUGAUCUAGUCAUGGCCAGGGUGAAGGUGCCGUAACAGGUACUGGAGGCCCGAACCCACGUCUGUUGCAAAAGACGGGGAUGAGCUGUGAUUAGGAGUGAAAAGCUAAUCGAACCCGGAGAUAGCUGGUUCUCCUCGAAAGCUAUUUAGGUAGCGCCUCAUAUGUAUCCUCUCGGGGGUAGAGCACUGUUAUGGCUAGGGGGUCAUCGCGACUUACCAAACCAUUGCAAACUCCGAAUACCGAGACGGACUGUAUGGGAGACACACGGCGGGUGCUAACGUCCGUCGUGAAAAGGGAAACAACCCAGACCCACAGCUAAGGUCCCAAAUUUUGUGCUAAGUGGAAAACCAUGUGGAAAGGCACAGACAGCCAGGAGGUUGGCUUAGAAGCAGCCACCCUUUAAAGAAAGCGUAAUAGCUCACUGGUCGAGUCGGUCUGCGGGGAAGAUUUAACGGGGCUAAGCACAGAACCGAAGCUUGGGGUGUGCAUAUUUAUAUGUACGCGGUAGAGGAGCGUUCCGUAAGCCGUUGAAGGUGGAUUGAGAAGUCUGCUGGAGGUAUCGGAAGUGCGAAUGCUGACAUGAGUAACGAUAAUGCGGGUGAAAAACCCGCACGCCGAAAGCCCAAGGUUUCCUUGCGCAACGUUAAUCGGCGCAGGGUGAGUCGGCCCCUAAGGCGAGGACGAAAGUCGUAGUCGAUGGGAAGCAGGUUAAUAUUCCUGCACCUCGCGUAAGUGCGAUGGAGGGACGGAGAAGGUUAGGCGUACCGGGCGUUGGUUGUCCCGGGGAAAGGCGGUAGGUUUGGAUCUUUGGCAAAUCCGGGAUCCUCUAAGACCGAGCACCGAGACGAGCCUUUAUGGCGAAGUCGCUGAUACCACGCUUCCAGGAAAAGCUCCUAAGCUUCAGCUUACGCAGACCGUACCGUAAACCGACACAGGUGGGUAGGAUGAGAAUUCUCAGGCGCUUGAGAGAACUCGGGUGAAGGAACUAGGCAACAUGGCACCGUAACUUCGGGAGAAGGUGCACCCUUUUUGGUGGCUCGUGCGAGCUAUAGCUGAAGAGGGUCGCAGUAACCAGGCCGCUGCGACUGUUUAUCAAAAACACAGCACUCUGCAAACACGAAAGUGGACGUAUAGGGUGUGACGCCUGCCCGGUGCUGGAAGGUUAAUUGAUGGGGUCAGCCGCAAGGCGAAGCUCUUGAUCGAAGCCCCAGUAAACGGCGGCCGUAACUAUAACGGUCCUAAGGUAGCGAAAUUCCUUGUCGGGUAAGUUCCGACCUGCACGAAUGGCGUAACGACAGCGGCGCUGUCUCCACCCGAGACUCAGUGAAAUUGAAAUCGCUGUGAAGAUGCAGCGUUCCCGUGGCAAGACGGAAAGACCCCGUGAACCUUUACUAUAGCUUUACACUGAACGUUGAGUUCGUCUGUGUAGGAUAGGUGGGAGGCUAUGAAACCAUGGCGCUAGCUGUGGCGGAGCCAUCCUUGAAAUACCACCCUGUCGUGCUUGACGUUCUAACCUGGGCCCAUUAUCUGGGUCGGGGACCGUGUAUGGUGGGUAGUUUGACUGGGGCGGUCUCCUCCUAAAGAGUAACGGAGGAGCUCGAAGGUACGCUCAGCGCGGUCGGACAUCGCGCACUGUGUGCAAAGGCAUAAGCGUGCUUGACUGCAAGAUCGACGGAUCAAGCAGGUAGGAAACUAGGACUUAGUGAUCCGGUGGUUCUGUAUGGAAGGGCCAUCGCUCAACGGAUAAAAGGUACUCCGGGGAUAACAGGCUGAUACCGCCCAAGAGUUCAUAUCGACGGCGGUGUUUGGCACCUCGAUGUCGGCUCAUCACAUCCUGGGGCUGUAGUCGGUCCCAAGGGUAUGGCUGUUCGCCAUUUAAAGUGGUACGCGAGCUGGGUUCAGAACGUCGUGAGACAGUUCGGUCCCUAUCUGCCAUGGGCGUUGGAGAUUUGAGAGGGGCUGCUCCUAGUACGAGAGGACCGGAGUGGACGAACCUCUGGUGUUCCGGUUGUCACGCCAGUGGCAUUGCCGGGUAGCUAUGUUCGGAAGCGAUAACCGCUGAAAGCAUCUAAGCGGGAAGCGCGCCUCAAGAUGAGAUCUCCCGGGGCACAAGCCCCCUGAAGGAACCAUGUAGACUACGUGGUUGAUAGGUCAGGUGUGUAAGUACAGCAAUGUAUUGAGCUAACUGAUACUAAUGAUCCGAGAGGCUUGACCAU